Molecule: unclassified non-coding RNA, 300 nt
Filed under: Hevea brasiliensis (rubber tree)
Lineage: Eukaryota; Viridiplantae; Streptophyta; Magnoliopsida; Malpighiales; Euphorbiaceae
Source: RNAcentral
GAGAGAGAAGAAGAAGAAGAAGAAUAACUACAAGUAGAAACCCAUGGCCAAAGAUCGUUCAUUUUGAUACCAUCGAUGCAUGAUAUUCCAACCAUAGGAACACAAGAACAGGAAGAAUAGAGAAUAGAGAGAGAAUUAGUAGAAUUCAGAGAGCGAGAGAGGGAGGGGGAGAGAGAGAGAGAGAAUUUCAGAUAAAAAGCAAUUACAAUAAGAUGAUUGUCUUCACUAUGACUCAAGACAGGAUAUGUUACACAAUCAGAGAUUUUUUUGACAUACCUAGUUGAUCCUACUUUCAAUAAA